AGCAGCCGCGGUAAUUCCAGCUCCAAUAGCGUAUAUUAAAGUUGUUGCAGUUAAAAAGCUCGUAGUUGAAUUUCGGGAUCAAGGCGUCGGUCGCGCUUAGGUACGUACUGGCGUAAUUGAUUUCUCCCUUCUGACGAACCAUGAUGUCAUUAACUUGGUGUCAUGGGAAAUCAGGACUGUUACUUUGAAAAAAUUAGAGUGUUUAAAGCAGGCUCACGCUUGAAUACAUUAGCAUGGAAUAAUGAAAUAGGACGUUCGAUCCUAUUUUGUUGGUUUUAGGAUCAACGUAAUGAUUAAUAGGGAUAGUUGGGGGCAUUAGUAUUCAAUUGUCAGAGGUGAAAUUCUUGGAUUUAUUGAAGACUAACUACUGCGAAAGCAUUUGCCAAGGAUGUUUUCAUUAAUCAAGAAC
This 409-nucleotide ribosomal RNA is filed under the name uncultured Glomeromycotina. RNAcentral's name for it is "SSU rRNA". It matches the Rfam family "Eukaryotic small subunit ribosomal RNA", at positions 569 to 984 of the family's 1831-position model. Lineage: Eukaryota; Fungi; Glomeromycota. The record is from RNAcentral.